RNAcentral lists this ribosomal RNA (508 nucleotides) under uncultured bacterium. RNAcentral's name for it is "bacterial SSU rRNA". It matches the Rfam family "Bacterial small subunit ribosomal RNA", at positions 791 to 1304 of the family's 1533-position model. The record is from RNAcentral.
UAGUCCACGCCGUAAACGAUGAUCACUCGUCAUUGGCGAUACACUGUCAGUGACCAAGCGAAAGUGUUAAGUGAUCCACCUGGGGAGUACGGUCGCAAGAUUGAAACUCAAAGGAAUUGACGGGGGCCCGCACAAGCGGUGGAGCAUGUGGUUUAAUUCGAUGAUACGCGAGGAACCUUACCAGGGCUUAAAUGCAUAUUGACAGAUUGGGAAACCAGUCCUUCUUCGGACAAUUUGCAAGGUGCUGCAUGGUUGUCGUCAGCUCGUGCCGUGAGGUGUCGGGUUAAGUCCCAUAACGAGCGCAACCCCUACCCUUAGUUGCCAGCGGAUAAUGCCGGGGACUCUGAGGGAACUGCCGGUGCAAACCGUGAGGAAGGUGGGGAUGACGUCAAAUCAUCACGGCCCUUACGUCCUGGGCUACACACGUGCUACAAUGGUUAGGACAAAGAGUCGCCAACUUGCAAAAGUGAGCUAAUCUCGUAAACCUAAUCUCAGUUCGGAUCGCAGG